GCAGACUCAAAAAUUGAAAACCCAUACAGACCGGCUGACAUAAAUUAAAGUUUGAUGUAUAAUGUUUAAUGUAAUGUUUAAUGUUUAAUGUUUUAUGUUUUACGAUUUUGUUUUUUUGUGUAAGUUUUAUG
This 131-nucleotide non-coding RNA is filed under the name Florenciella parvula. Lineage: Eukaryota; Dictyochophyceae; Florenciellales. The record is from RNAcentral.